UAUAUAUAUAUAUAUACAGUACCAGUCAAUAGUUUAGACACACCUACUCAUUCAAGGUUUUUCUUUAUUUUGUACUAUUUGCUACAUUGUAGAAUAACAGUGAAGACAUCAACAACUAUUAAAUAACACACAUGGAAUCAUGUAGUAACCAAAAAAAGUGUUAAACGAAUCAAAAAUAUAUUUUAGAUUCUUCAAAGUAGCCACCCUUUGCCUUGAUGACAGCUUUGCACACUCUUGGCAUUCUCUCAACCAGUUUCACCUGGAAUGCUUUUUCAACAGUCUUGAAGGAGUUCCCACUUAUGCUGAGCGCUUGUUGGCUGCUUUUCCUUCACUCUUUUCCUUCACUCUGCGGUCCAACUCAUCCCAAACUAUCUCAAUUGGGUUGAGGUCAGGUGAUUGUGGAGGCCAGGUCAUCUGAUGCAGCACUCCAUCACUCUCCUUUUUGGUCAAAUAGCCCUUACACAGCCUGGAGGUGUGUUUUGGGUCAUUGUCCUAUAGAAAAACCAAUGAUAAUCCCACUAAGCACAAACCAGAUGGGAUGGUGUAUCGCUGAAGAAUGCUGUGGUAGCAAUGCUGGUUAAGUGUGCCUUGAAUUCUAAAUAAAUCACUGACAGUGUCACCAGCAAAGCACCCCAACACCAUCACACCACCUCCUCCAUGCUUCACGGUGGGAAAUUCACAUGCGGAGAUCAUCCGUUCACCUUCUCCGUCUCAAAAAGACACGGCGGUUGGAACCCAACAUCUCAAAUUUGGACUCAUCAAUCCAAAGGACAGAUUUCCACCAGUCUAAUGUCCAUCGCUCGUGUUUCUUGGCCCAAAAAAGUCUCUUCUUCUUAUUGGUGUGCUUUAGUAGUGGUUUCUUUGCAGCAAUUCAACCAUGAAGGCAAGCAGACUCCUCUGAACAGUUGAGAUGUCUGUUACUUGAACUCUGUGAAGCAUUUAUUUGGGCUGCAAGUUCUGAGGUGCAGUUAACUCUACUGAAUUUAUCCUCUGCAGCAGAGGUAACUCUGGGUCUUCCUUUCCUAUGGCGGUACUCAUGAGAGCCAGUUAACUCUACUGAAUUUAUCCUCUGCAGCAGAGGUAACUCUGGGUCUUCCUUUCAUCAUGAGAGCCAGUUUCAUCAUAGCACUUGAUAGUUUUUGCAACUGUACUUGAAGAAUCUUUCAAAAUUCUUGAAAUGUUCCGUAUUGACUGACCUUCAUGUCUUCAUGUAAUGAUGACCUUGACCUUCAUGUAAUGAUGGACUGUCGUUUCUCUUUGCUUAUUUGAGCUGUUCUUGCCAUAAUACGAACUUGGUCUUUUACCAAAUAGGGCUAUCUUCUGUAUACCAUAACUUGAAUGGGUAGGUGUGUCCAAAUGUUUGACCACUACUGUAAAUAUUAUGUAUCUUUAAAUAAUGUUCUUCUGGUCCAUAAAUAUUAUGUCAUCUUUAAUUAAUAGGUCCAGUACCAUAUUAACAAUGUACAGGGAUACUGGAGUGAUGGAGGUAGAUACAGUGCCUUGCGAAAGUAUUCGGCCCCCUUGAACUUUGCACGCCCAAUUUUUCAGUUUUUGAUUUGUUAAAAAAGUUUGAAAUAUCCAAUAAAUGUCGUUCCACUUCAUGAUUGUGUCCCACUUGUUGUUGAUUCUUCACAAAAAAAUACAGUUUUAUAUCUUUAUGUUUGAAGCCUGAAAUGUGGCAAAAGGUCACAAAGUUCAAGGGGGCCGAAUACUUUCGCAAGGCACUGUAUAUAUAGGAGUAAGGAGACUAGAUAUCAGGAUAUCUGAUAAACAGAGUAGCAGCAGCGAUUCUACGGGAGUGUGUAUGCUUGCAUAUGUGUAGAGUCAGUAUGAAUGUGUUUGUGGGCAAAUGUGUGUUGGAGUCUCAGUGUGAGUGUGUAGAGUCCUUUUGAGUGUGCAUAGAGUCACUGCAAAAAUUUAAUAAAAGGGUCAAUGCAGAUAGUCCAUGUAGGUAUUUUUUGUUAGAUGUUCAGCAGUCUGAUGGCUUGGGUGUAGAAGCUGUUCAGCAGACUGAUGGCUUGGGGGUAGAAGCUGUUCAGCAGUGUGAUGGCUUGGGGGUAGAAGCUGUUCAGCAGUCUGAUGGCUUGGGGGUAGAAGCUGUUCAGCAGUCUGAUGGCUUGGGGGUAGAAGCUGUUCAGCAGUCUGAUGGCUUGGGGGUAGAAGCUGUUCAGGAGCCUGUUGGUAUCAGACUUGGUGCUCCGGUACCUCUUGCCAUUCGGUAGCAGAGAGAACAGUUGCUUGAGUCUUAGACAUAUUUCCAUGUCUUCCUUUCCCACCGUUUUGAUAUGGAGGUACUGAAUGGAAAGGAACUCGACCCCAGUGCUGUACUGGGCUGUCCGCACCACCAUCUGUAGCGCCAUGCGGUCGACAGUGAUGCACUUACCGUACCAAGCAGUGAUGCAGUCAGUCAAGAUGCUCUCAAUGAUGCAGCUGGAUACAUUUUUUUGAGGAUCUGAAACCAAAUCUUUUCAAAAUUGGGAACAACAACAAUGGGAAGAACAUUUUCUUUGGGAACAGUAGAAACAGAAAGGUGUCUGGGGGGUGAAUGGGAGGGAGUCUGCCAGGAAGGACAGCAGUCUGCCAGGAAGGACAGCAGUCUGCCAGGAAGGACAGCAGUCUGCCAGGAAGGACAGCAGUCUGCCAGGAAGGACAGCGGUCUGCCAGGAAGGACAGCGGUCUGUCAGGAAGGACAGAGGUCUGCCAGGAAGGACAGCGGUCUGCCAGGAAGGACAGGAGUCUGUCAGGACUUGAGGCUGCCAGGACAGGAGUCUCCUGAUGAAGAAGGAGCCUCACCUAUGACCUUACCUACACCCUGACACUGGCCUCGCCUGCUGCACAGAUAUAUACCCCUCUUUAUCCUGUCUACCCCCUGACCCUACCUAACCCCUGACCCUGCCCACCCCCUGACUCUGCCUACCCACUUACCCUACCCACUUACCCUACCU
Oncorhynchus tshawytscha (Chinook salmon) is the source of this 2945-nucleotide long non-coding RNA. NCBI's taxonomy places the organism in Eukaryota, Metazoa, Chordata, Actinopteri, Salmoniformes, Salmonidae. The record is from Ensembl.